GAUGAACGCUGGCGGCGUGCCUAAUACAUGCAAGUCGAGCGAACGGACGAGAAGCUUGCUUCUCUGAUGUUAGCGGCGGACGGGUUAGUAACACGUGGAUAACCUACCUAUAAGACUGGGAUAACUUCGGGAAACCGGAGCUAAUACCGGAUAAUAUUUUGAACCGCAUGGUUCAAAAGUGAAAGACGGUCUUGCUGUCACUUAUAGAUGGAUCCGCGCUGCAUUAGCUAGUUGGUAAGGUAACGGCUUACCAAGGCAACGAUGCAUAGCCGACCUGAGAGGGUGAUCGGCCACACUGGAACUGAGACACGGUCCAGACUCCUACGGGAGGCAACAGUAGGGAAUCUUCCGCAAUGGGCGAAAGCCUGACGGAGCAACGCCGCGUGAGUGAUGAAGGUCUUCGGAUCGUAAAACUCUGUUAUUAGGGAAGAACAUAUGUGUAAGUAACUGUGCACAUCUUGACGGUACCUAAUCAGAAAGCCACGGCUAACUACGUG
This 497-nucleotide ribosomal RNA is filed under the name uncultured bacterium. RNAcentral describes it as "partial 16S ribosomal RNA". It matches the Rfam family "Bacterial small subunit ribosomal RNA", at positions 28 to 507 of the family's 1533-position model. The record is from RNAcentral.